AGAUCUUUGGUUUUGCCUUUGCUGACUGCUGAUCUGAUCGUCUUAAGUCUGGUGACCUGCUGCAGAAGCUCUCUCCCUCUAUCAUUGACAAGCCAUUCAGUCUGUCCUAUCACUCUACCCACUCUAUCUAUUUUGACAAGACGUUCUAUCUUGCUUCACUCUAUCCCACAAGCUCUAUCUAAGUUAUCAAAAAUC
This is a long non-coding RNA of Oreochromis aureus, 195 nucleotides long. RefSeq lists it as uncharacterized. The record is from RefSeq and is a predicted model, not a curated record. The transcript has 3 exons. Lineage: Eukaryota; Metazoa; Chordata; Actinopteri; Cichliformes; Cichlidae.